GAGAGCGCGGUGGAGGCCGCGCAGUGCGCUUCCAAUUGGGACUGAGCAAAUGGAGGAAAAGGAAACCGCCUUUCAGUUCAACCGACUCACUGCAUGAUAUAUUGGCCUUUCUGGGUCUUUGGUGGCUAUACUCGUUUGGCUUUUCUCCUUCCCAGCUUGGAGGCUGCUUUAUCCAAAUGCUUUCUUCAGUCCUCAACUUGGCGUUUCAACCCGAAUCCGCCUUUUCUUCCAUCUUAGAUCUGCCUUCUUAUGUGUUUCUCCAGCUCUUCGUUUAAAACUCCUUCAAAUCGUAUUUCAGUUUUGACUGGUAUAGCAUACAUUGGCAACUGUUACACGCAGCGGCUCUUUUCCUCAUAAUACCGUAUUUGGUUUAAUUUGUGUAAGUCCUGCCUUGCGAAUUGGAUUUUAAGUUCGAGAAGGGCAAGGGCAGAACCGUUCUUUUGUCUGUUCCACACCCCGGGUGCGGGGCCUGGGAAGUAGAGGCUUUGCUUACUACUCCAUACUGCAAACCUUAGUGUACCUGCCUUUGCAGGGCAGCUAUUCUCAUGCUCUUAAUAACCCUGAAUAAACCUCAGAAUUGCA
This 582-nucleotide long non-coding RNA is filed under the name Homo sapiens (human). RNAcentral describes it as "non-protein coding lnc-COX20-2:1". Lineage: Eukaryota; Metazoa; Chordata; Mammalia; Primates; Hominidae. The record is from RNAcentral.